UACGGAGGGGGCCAGCGUUGUUCGGAAUCAUUGGGCGUAAAGGGCGCGUAGGCGGCUUUGUAAGUCCGUUGUGAAAUCCCUCGGCUCAACCGAGGAACUGCGACGGAUACUGCUUGGCUUGAGUCCCGGAGAGGGUAGCGGAAUUCCCAGUGUAGCGGUGAAAUGUGUAGAGAUCGGGAGGAACACCGGUGGCGAAGGCGGGUCUCUGGGCAAUUCCUGACGCUGAGGCGCGAAAGCGUGGGGAGCAAACGGG
This 253-nucleotide ribosomal RNA is filed under the name uncultured bacterium. RNAcentral's name for it is "partial 16S ribosomal RNA". It matches the Rfam family "Bacterial small subunit ribosomal RNA", at positions 524 to 776 of the family's 1533-position model. The record is from RNAcentral.